Long non-coding RNA from Hypanus sabinus (Atlantic stingray), 6149 nucleotides. RefSeq lists it as uncharacterized. NCBI's taxonomy places the organism in Eukaryota, Metazoa, Chordata, Chondrichthyes, Myliobatiformes, Dasyatidae. The record is from RefSeq and is a predicted model, not a curated record. The transcript is spliced from 3 exons.
CUCUCCACAAUCCCUUUGGUCCCGGAUAGUGCAGGCCAGAGGGGACGGAUCACAGUGAUACUCGACAGAGUACCACAUUUACUCUCCACAAUCCCUUUGGUCCCGAAUAGGACAGGCCAGAGGGGACGGAUCACAGUGAUACUCGACAGAGUACCACAUUUACUCUCCACAAUCCCUUUGGUCCCGGAUAGGGCAGGCCAGAGGGGACGGUGAUACAGGCGGCUGUGAUCAGGCUCACCAUACAGGCAGGCUCUUUUCUCACUGCUGUAAUCAGGUAGAAGGUACAAGAGCCUCAGGACUCGCCCCACCAGGGUCAGGAACAGUUACUACCCCUCAACCAUCAGGCUGUGGAACAACACAGGAUAACUGCACUCACUUGAUGUCCAUAGAGUUGCUCCCACAACAAAUGAUCGUACUGGGACUGUCUCAAAAUGAGUGAAACAAGAGGUGGUUUAACUGAGACAGAUUGUAUUCCUGUCUCAGAAUUAGAGAAAUAUAAUCUCACAAGAUAUUUAAAGUGGAUGUGCUGGAAUGAUGUUUCCCAGAAGGUGUGGAACCAGCACUCACAAACUCAGAAUACGAGGAGAACUGAGCAGGACUGAGGUUAGGAGAAAUGUCCUCACCCAGAGUGCAGUGAAUCAUUGCAAUUAUCUCCACAAGGUUUCGAAAUUGAAUAGACAUAUCCUGGGGCUCAGCGGUGAUGGAAAGUUGCAGGAAAGUGGUGCUGAGGUCAAAAGUCAAGCAUGUUCUGAGUUGAAGGACAGUGGUAGCGCAAGGGGCCGAAUGGCCACGCCUUCUCGAUUUCUUGUUUUCUGAAACACUCGGUAACCUUUGUGCCUCACUGUUUCUUGUCCUGUCAGAUUGAACAGGGAGAGCUGAGAGCACCGGACAUCUAUCGGCAGCCGCUGCGGUUAUUUCAUGUUCUCAUUGUUUAUUUGCAUUGGCGAAGUUUGUUGUCUUCUGCACUCUGGUUGAUCUUUCAGUGAUCCAGAUAUAGUUACCAUUCUGUAGCUUUGCUCUGCAUGUUUGCAGGAAUUGUUUGUGGCGACUUAUAUGUACUCUGUUAGUUUUUGGAAUAGUCACUUGGGGAAUCUGAGGUGGAGGAGUAUUUGGGGCUUAUUUUAAAUUAUACAUAGAUAUUAUCCAAAUAAUGUUUAUUUGACAAGGGUUAAUUCUGAUAUUGAGACUAACUGUUCUUUUUGUGGUUGAUAUCCAGAGGAUUUAUUUCAUCUGUUUUGGGAUUGUGAAUAUGUUAAAACAUUUUGGUUUGAUGUUUGUCAAUUUAUAGAUUAAUAUAUUAAUGUGGAUUUUACUUUUUGUUUUGAAAAUGUCUUAUUGGGUUUACUAGUAAUACCAAAUCUCACAAGGAUCAUUUCUCUAUCAUAAAUCUUUUGUUAAUUUACAGCAAAUUUUGUAUCCAUAAAUGCAAACACAGCAAUAAGAAACCUUCAUUUAGAUUUUUACCUCAGACUUCAAACUAUACGUUUAUACUCUGAACACUUCCCGUAACCAGAAACCUGUAAAGACUGUACAAAUCUGUCAAUAUUUUGUGUUAUCUCUGUAAACGUUCUUGUUUUGUGACUCCUCUUAGAUACAGUCCCUUCUGUCCAACAGUAUUUAGAGCGGAUUUCCUUGUUUAUUUGUAUAUUUAAAGUUAAUGGUUAUAUAUUCGUUGCUGCUUUUAUGUGAUUCCCUGGCUUUGUUAGCAUAUGUUUAGUGUUUCUGUCUUUGUUUGUGUUCAAUAAAAAUUUAAAAUAUUAAAAAGUAAUUAUAAAAUUUACUUUGAACUUUGAGCCUCGGGGAACUUGCUAUGAGUCUGAGAACAAACGGUGACUGACAUCUCCAGCUCCCGGCAGCAGCCCGCCCUCGGACACACUCACAGCCAAUCAGAGAAGACCACUGGGAGACUCUGGCCUCCAUUGGCUGAGGAGUGUCAGUGGGCGGGACGCUAGGCGGACCGAAGUUUGGAACCGGGAACGAGUGGACCCGGUGAGAGACCCGAGAUUGGGAGCAGCUCCCCGGGUAAAGGCUGCAACAGCGGCCGGAGUUUUGAACCCUUCCGAUGGCGGAGGUGAAGAUUCGGGCGGAGAUUCCGUGAGAUGUUUCAGCCACACAGGGGGAGCCCGGUCUUUCCCCGCCGUGGAUCGGGGCCUGUUGUCCGGAGUUUCCUCCCGGUCCUGUCUCCUGCUGCUGGGAUCCGGGAGCUGGCCCGCAGCGGCUGCCGAUGGAGCUCCGGUGUGUGAGCGCUCCCCUGUGCAAAAGGUCAGGCUGAAGGUCAAGGGAGAACCAGGCACAAAGAUUGAACAGGGAGCGCUGAGAGCACCGGACAUCUAUCGGCAGCCGCUGCCGUUAUUUCAUGUUCUCGUUGUUUAUUUGCAUUGGCGAAGUUUGUUGUCUUCUGCACUCUGGCUGAUCUUUCAGUGAUCCAGAUAUAGCUACCGUUCUGUAGCUUUGCUCUGUAUGUUUGUAGGUGUUGUAUGUGGUGACUUAUAUGUACACUGUUAGUUUUUGGAACAGUCGCUUGGGUAAUCUGAGGUGGAGGAGUAUUUGGGGCUUAUUUAAAACUAUGCAUAGAUAUUAUCCAAAUAGUGUUUAUCUGACGGGUUAAUUCUGAUAUUGAAACUAACUGUUAUUUUUGUGGUUUAUAACCAGAGGAUUUUUUUCAUCUGUUUUGGGAUUGUGAAUAUGUUAAAACAUUUUGGGUUGAUGUUUGUCAAUUUAUAGAUCAUUAUAUUAAUGUGGAUUUUACUUUCUGUUUUGAAAAUGUCUUAUCUGGGUUUACUAAUUUUACUUUGAACUUUGAGCCUUUGGGAACUUGUUUUGUUUCUGAUAUCAAACCUUGACUGACAUAUCCAGCAACCGGCAGCAGCCCGUCCUCGGACACACUCACAGCCAAUCAGAGAACACCCCUGAGAGACUCUUGCCUCCAUUGGCUGAGGAGUGUCAGUGGGCGGGAUGCUGGGCGGACCGAAGUUUGGAACCGGGAACGAGUGGACCCGGUGAGAGACCCGAGAUUGGGAGCAGAUCCCCGGGUAAAGGCUGCAACAGCGGCCGGAGUUUUGAAUCCUUCCGAUGGUGGAGGUGAAGAUUCGGGCGGAGACACCGUGAGAUGUUUCAAUCACACAGGGGGUGCCCGGUCUUUACCCGCCGUGGAUCGGGGCCUGUUGUCCGGAGUUUCCUCCCGGUCCUAUCUCCUGCUGCUGGGAUCCGGGAGCUGGCCCGCAGCGGCUGCCGAUGGAACUCCGGUGUGUGAGCGCUCCCCUGUGCAAAAGGACAGGCUGAAGGUCAAGGGAGAACCAGGCGCAAAGUCAGCCACGGCUUUGUCCAUGCUGGAAUCUUUCCGGUAAUACCAUGGGCUCGUGGGUUGUUAAAGCAGUUUCGUGUGUGGCAUCAUGUCAGAAGCCGUCUGAAAAUCCAGGUGAACAACAUCAAUCGAUUCUCCUUUGUCUGUCCUGCUUGUUAUUUCUUAAAAUAAUUUCUACAGGUUGGUCAGGCAAGAUUUUCCCUUCAGGAAACCAUGCUGACUGUGGCCUAUUUUAUCUUGUGACACGGUACUCUCAGACCUCAUCAUUAAUAAUCGACUCCAACAUCUUCCCAAUCACUGCGUACAGACUAACUGGCCUAUAGUUUCCUUUCUUCUGCCUCUCUCCCUUCUUGAAAAGUGGUGUGACAUUGGCAAUAUUACAUUCUUGAGGAACCAUUCCGGAACAUUGUGAUUCCUGAAUGUUCAUUACUAAUGGGGCCACAAUCUUUUUAGCCACCUCUUUCAGAAAGCCGGGGUGUACACCAUCUGGGUCACGUGACUUAUCUAACUUGGCCUUCCAGUUCCUCAAGAACCUUCACUCUGGUUCUGGUAACUUUGCACACUUCUGACUCCUGACACCCGGAAGUCCCACCAUUCUGCUGGUGUCUUCCUCUGUGAAGACAGACACAACACACUUAUUCAGUCUGUCUACCAUUUCUUUGUCUCCCGUCACUGCCUCUCCAGCAUCGUUUUCCAGCCACCCGAGACUUUAUAUUAGAUAAAAAUUGGGAUAUGUGUGCUUUAAUUGGACAAGAGUGUUGCACCAACACACCAGACAAAUCUGAAAAUGUAACUCACCUGAUGGAUUAUAUUUGAGAGGCAGCAGAUAGAAUGAGAGAAGUGGGAGAGCAGUUCCACAAUGAUAACCCCUCAGUAAGUCAGUGGCCAUUUGGGACUCUGGGACGAUGGUGGGAUACUGGUUUACAUUGUACAGUUCCACAAUGAUAACCCCUCAGGAAGCCGGAGGCCAUUUGGGACUCUGGGAGGAUGGUGGGAUACUGGUUUACAUUGUACAGUUCCACAAUGAUAACCCCUCAGGAAGCCGGUGGCCAUUUGGGACGCUGGGACGAUGGUGGGAUACUGGUUUACAUUGUACAGUUCCACAAUGAUAACCCCUCAGGAAGCCGGUGGCAAUUUGGGACGCUGGGAGGAUGGUGGGAUACUGGUUUACAUUGUACAGUUCCACAAUGAUAACCCCUCAGGAAGCCAUUUUUGGAAUCUGGAUGAGAGAAUACGGUUUUACACUAUGGAAUAACCAUUAGAGUAAUAAUAAUCAGAUUAUGAUUAUUUUACUCUUCCAUGUGACCGAAACGAGGGGACAGAAGGAAUAUUUUGUAAACGCUGUGUUUGAGGUCCCCUCCCAUCCGUGGUGAGAAUGGAGGUGAACUUACCCCCGGCAGGUAAUAAAGAAUAAAGCUGCUUGAUGAAGAAACACUCAGUGUUGGGAUUGUGUUCUGUGAGUCUCAGCAGAGAGAUACUUGACAGGGGGUUAGGGGUGAAAGAUGGGGAGUUUAUGGGGCACAUGAGGGGAUACCUCUUCACUCAGAGGGUCACAGGAGUGUGAAAUGAGCUUCACCCACCCACAACGUCUGCCCCCGAAUGAGGUGGAGCCCAAAUGGCGGGUCCCUCAAAUGAGCUGCUGCCAACCGGAGACCGGGGUCUUCGGGCUGGUUUGUUGCCGCCAGAGAACAUGAUGUGUGUCCCUGGUGAUGGACCCACUGACGGUAGGUGUCGGCGCUGGGGGCGGGGGGUGUUAGUGUUGUACUUGUACGGGUGGGUAGAGAUAUGUCAGAGCCAGCAGAUGCCAGACAAGGGCUCGUCCUUUAUUCUGGGAUGUCCUGGUAUCAGUCGUAACGGGGUUUACCCGACGGUGCAGUCUGGGAGGUCAGGGACUGGGCCGUCUCCAGUGCCAGUACAGUCACUCUCAGCUGAGCCUGGAGUGGGAGCAGGGACGGUUCCUGUUGGGUUACGGACAUGAAGGUCCAAACCCGGGGAGACGCCAUUGUCAAAUUUCACCAAGAAACAAUCAGGCCAAACAACUUCAGGCAGAACUGCUCAGGAUGACAAACAGACAUCAGUACACAGAAAUGACAACUUUUAAAAUCAGAAAUAAACCAAUGUAAAAACAAAUUUAAAACCAGCUCCUUUGCCUGGGUAUGGGUGGAAUGGAAAUGGUCCCGACGCAAAUGAGGUGGUUUCACACCGUCUGCACGACUCAGUCGCCCCAUUGAAGGAGUCGCAGUGGCGAUUGAGUUCGCACUGAGAGGGGGAUUGGACACGGAGUGAAAGGCCUGAUGAGGGUCGGUUUGAUUGCCAAGGGGAUCUGCUGUCUUGUCUUGUGGGCUGGCCACUUACGGCUUCCUCACCGGCUCAGACACUGAAAGCCCGUGUUUCCCUGCACCCCACCCCCCCCACCCCGGAUCCAGGCAGUCUCGUCCCCCUGGGAGAUGAAAGAGAAAGUAAAUUCAUCCGCUUACAACUGGACAAUGAUGUAUGUUAAUUAUUUGGAGAAUGCAGAUCAAACAAUUAGUGAGGUUGUGGAUGUCACCUAAACCGGUGUGUGGAGAAAGUGAGGGUUGUCUAAGGUUACAGUGGGAUCGGGACCAGUUGGGAAAGUGGGCCGAGGAAUUGCAGGUGGAUCUUAGCUGUCACUCAGAAACAGUUCUUCAGGGGGUCAAAGACCACUGAGACACGAAAGAGAGCUUUUCUUGGGCUCUGGAUUCAAACAGACAAGACUGGUGCACUCGUACCAAGGCAGAAUAUAAGUUGUUGCUCCGCCACCCUGCGGGUGCAGUCAUCAAUUAGGAGCAACUUCGCACCAUCCUCCACAAGUCUGACUUACCAG